CGAGCACGCGCGUGUGGCAUAUCAAUAAGCGGAGGAAAAGAAACUAACAAGGAUUCCCCUAGUAACGGCGAGUGAAGCGGGAAGAGCUCAAAUUUGAAAUCUUCAAGGUUUUACCUUGACGAAUUGUAGUUUAAAGAAGUGUUUUCGGUUAGAGGAGUGGUAAAAGUUCUUUGGAAUAGGACAUCAUAGAGGGUGAGAAUCCCGUAUUUGGUCAUUCCUCCUAGCGUUGUGAUACACUUUCAACGAGUCGGAUUGUUUGGGAAUGCAGUCCAAAAUGGGUGGUAAAUUUCAUCUAAAGCUAAAUAUUGGCGAGAGACCGAUAGCGAACAAGUACCGUGAGGGAAAGAUGAAAAGAACUUUGAAAAGAGAGUUAAACAGUACGUGAAAUUGUCAAAAGGGAAGCGUUUGACACCAGUGUUGUUUUUCCGAAAAUCAAUUACGAAUGUUUUGUUUUUGAGGAGUUAUGACUUCAUCGGCUUGCUCCUUUCUUUACGAAACUUUCUUAAUGCACUUUUCGGUUAACAAGUCAACAUCAAUUUCUUUUGUUGUAAAAGGGUCAUUGAGGAAGGUGGCUUUCUUUUCGGAGAAAGUGUUUAUAGCCUUGUGACUCCUACAAUCGGAGAGACUGAGGUCUGCAGCGUAGAUCCUCUGGGAUUAGAUUACAUUUGUGCUAAGUUAUAGCUUUUCAUAGACAACUUGUUGACUAUGUUUAGUCUUGUAGCUUACUCGCUUACUGCUAUUUUACCUACGCUUAGGAUGUUGAUGUGAUACUGCGAGC
Molecule: ribosomal RNA, 778 nt
Filed under: uncultured Neocallimastigales
Lineage: Eukaryota; Fungi; Neocallimastigomycota; Neocallimastigomycetes; Neocallimastigales
Description: partial large subunit ribosomal RNA
Rfam family: Eukaryotic large subunit ribosomal RNA
Source: RNAcentral